CGGGUUUCUCCCUGCGGCUCCUGGGUUGUUGAGACUCUUGUGAAGAUGGCUUGCGCUGCCGCGCGGUCCCCGGCCGACCAGGACAGGUGGGUUCUGAGGCGGUGGGUCCUCCGAAAGGAAGGGGCUUGCUGUGGUGCUGCAGGUGCUACACCGCGCUUCUCCGCUCCGCGGCCUCCAGAAUGGCCUAGCUGAUCCAACUCGCUCUGUACGGGCCCCGCGCCUCUCCCUGGCAGCUCGUUUUUCUGAAUCCUGCAGCAGCCACCAGGCUCUUCUCAGGGCUCCUGAAAUUCCGACCAUAGGUUUAUUUGUAUCUAUCCUGCUUAUUUAAAUAAUAAGAAGACCAUCGCAGAGGGAAGGCGAAUCCCCAUAAGUAAGGCUGUUGAAAAUCCUACAGCUACAGAGAUUCAAGAUGUAUGUUCAGCAGUUGGACUUAACGUAUUUCUUGAGAAAAAUAAAAUGUACUCUAGAGAAUGGAAUCGUGAUGUCCAAUACAGAGGCAGAGUCCGGGUCCAGCUCAAACAGGAAGAUGGGAGCCUCUGCCUUGUACAGUUCCCAUCACAUUAUACACUAAGCCUAACUUCUGGUUCCUAGGUAAGUCAGUAAUGUUGUAUGCAGCAGAAAUGAUACCUAAACUAAAAACAAGGACACAAAAAACAGGAGGUGCUGACCAAAGUCUUCAACAAGGAGAGGGAAGUAAAAAAGGGAAAGGAAAGAAAAAGAAGUAACCUAGUAUCAGCAUCAAGUAUGUGGUACUACUGUAAGAGACAUGAAUGGAGACUUCUAAUUUGUAUCGGAGGGAAACAGAAGCUUUUUGUUUGCAUCAUUUAACUGAACUGUGAACCCUUGUGCCUCUCAUCUUUAUCAUCGGAGUUGACAGUGAAACAAAUUUACAUCAGAAGUUUGCAUCUCGCG
RNAcentral lists this long non-coding RNA (912 nucleotides) under Homo sapiens (human). Its description in RNAcentral is "HSALNT0092904". Lineage: Eukaryota; Metazoa; Chordata; Mammalia; Primates; Hominidae. The record is from RNAcentral.